RNAcentral lists this ribosomal RNA (364 nucleotides) under uncultured bacterium. RNAcentral describes it as "bacterial SSU rRNA". It matches the Rfam family "Bacterial small subunit ribosomal RNA", at positions 146 to 507 of the family's 1533-position model. The record is from RNAcentral.
GACGUAAAGUUACGACUAAUACCGCAUAUUCUGUGAGCAGGAAAGAGGGGGAUCGUAAGACCUCUCGCUUUCGGAGCGGCCGAUGUCAGAUUAGCUAGUUGGUAGGGUAAAAGCCUACCAAGGCAACGAUCUGUAGCGGGUCUGAGAGGAUGAUCCGCCACACUGGGACUGAGACACGGCCCAGACUCCUACGGGAGGCAGCAGUGGGGAAUUUUGGACAAUGGGGGCAACCCUGAUCCAGCCAUGCCGCGUGAGUGAAGAAGGCCUUCGGGUUGUAAAGCUCUUUCAGCCGGGAAGAAAUCGCAUCUCCUAAUACGGGGUGCGGAUGACGGUACCGGAAUAAGAAGCACCGGCUAACUACGUG